Toxorhynchites rutilus septentrionalis is the source of this 107-nucleotide small nuclear RNA. NCBI's taxonomy places the organism in Eukaryota, Metazoa, Arthropoda, Insecta, Diptera, Culicidae. The record is from RefSeq and is a predicted model, not a curated record.
GUCCUUACGUCAGCUGGACAUAUACUAAAAUUGAAACGAUACAGAGAAGAUUAGCAUGGCCCUGCGCAAGGAUGACCUCAUAGAACCUCGUGAAAACACACAACGUC